GGUACAAAGGGCUGCGAACCCGCGAGGGGGAGCGAAUCCCAAAAAGCCGCUCUCAGUUCGGAUUGCAGGCUGCAACUCGCCUGCAUGAAGCCGGAAUCGCUAGUAAUCGCGGAUCAGCAUGCCGCGGUGAAUACGUUCCCGGGCCUU
RNAcentral lists this ribosomal RNA (147 nucleotides) under uncultured Geobacillus sp. Its description in RNAcentral is "partial 16S ribosomal RNA". It matches the Rfam family "Bacterial small subunit ribosomal RNA", at positions 1236 to 1382 of the family's 1533-position model. Lineage: Bacteria; Bacillati; Bacillota; Bacilli; Caryophanales; Anoxybacillaceae. The record is from RNAcentral.